UGGCGAACGGGUGAGUAACGCGUGAGGAACCUGCCUCAAAGAGGGGGACAACAGUUGGAAACGACUGCUAAUACCGCAUAAGCCCACGGGUCGGCAUCGACCAGAGGGAAAAGGAGCAAUCCGCUUUGAGAUGGCCUCGCGUCCGAUUAGCUAGUUGGUGAGGUAACGGCCCACCAAGGCAACGAUCGGUAGCCGGACUGAGAGGUUGAACGGCCACAUUGGGACUGAGACACGGCCCAGACUCCUACGGGAGGCAGCAUG
Molecule: ribosomal RNA, 261 nt
Filed under: uncultured bacterium
Lineage: Bacteria
Description: partial 16S ribosomal RNA
Rfam family: Bacterial small subunit ribosomal RNA
Source: RNAcentral